GACGAACGCUGGCGGCGUGCUUAACACAUGCAAGUCGAACGGAAAGGCCCUGCUUUUGUGCGGUGCUCGAGUUGCGACCGGGUGAGUAACACGUGAGUACCCUGCACCUGCCUGUGGGAUAACUUCAGGAAACUGGGGCUCAUACCGGCUAGGAGCUCCUGCCGCAUGGUGGGGGUUGGUAAGUUUAGGCGGUUGGGGAUGGACUGGCGGCUUAUGAGCUUGAUGGUUGGGUAGUGGCUUACCAAGGCUUUGACGGGUAGCCGGCCUGAGAGGGUGACCGGCCACAUUGGGACGGGGAUACGGCCCAGACUCCUACGGGAGGCAGCAGUGGAGAAUAGUGCACAAUGGGCGGAAGCCUGAUGCAGCAACGCCGCGUGCGGGAUGACGGGCUGCGGGUAGGAAACCGCUGCCGCCUGUGACGAAGCGUGAGUGACGGUAAUGGGUAAAGAAGCACCGGCUAACUACGUG
Molecule: ribosomal RNA, 468 nt
Filed under: uncultured bacterium
Lineage: Bacteria
Description: partial 16S ribosomal RNA
Rfam family: Bacterial small subunit ribosomal RNA
Source: RNAcentral